Molecule: long non-coding RNA, 1708 nt
Filed under: Oryctolagus cuniculus (rabbit)
Lineage: Eukaryota; Metazoa; Chordata; Mammalia; Lagomorpha; Leporidae
Description: lncRNA (ENSOCUG00000030130.1)
Source: RNAcentral
GGAAGAGCCGAAGAGGCAGACACCAGCAGCUGCCAGCCCUGCCGGUCUGCUGGCAAUUCUUCCCCCGAGACUGCCGCGCUCAUCUGCUGGACCUCUCUCUCUGCCCAUCCUCUCUGCCACUCUCCAUCCCGCGGAAGUGCUGCAGCUCAGCCUGUGGGCCUGCUCCGUCCCGAGCCAGCUCCCUGCAGGAAGGCUGCUGUCGGCACCCAGCAGACACACGUGUCUGGGAGUCAGGUGGAGAGACGGAGGCUGGAGGCAGGAGCGACUUGUCCACAGCUCAGACACUUUAGUGGAGCGGCACAGAUCCCUGCUGCCAGGCAGGUGUUCUCUGUCACCACCCGGGGUGUCCAGGGAGCUCUGAGUCCCCUUAGGCCACGAGUCCCAGAAGGAAGAGGGGAGGGUAGGGUAUCCUGACUGUGGAGCCCAGUGGGUAGAGGGUGGGGUGUCCUGACUGUGGAGCCCAGUGGGUAGAGGGUGGGGUGUCCUGACUGUGGAGCCCAGUGGGUAGAUGGUGGGGUGUCCUGACUGUGGAGCCCAGUGGGUAGACGGUGAGGUGUCCUGACUGUGGAGCCCAGUGGGUAGAGGGUGGGGUGCCCUGACUGUGGAGCCCAGUGGGUAGAUGGUGGGGUGUCCUGACUGUGGAGCCCAGUGGGUAGAGGGUGGGGUGUCCUGACUGUGGACCCCAGUGGGUAGAGGGUGGGGUGUCCUGACUGUGGACCCCAGUGGGUAGAGGCGGGGUGUCCUGACUGUGGACCCCAGUGCGUAGAGGCGGGGUGUCCUGACUGUGGACCCCAGUGCGUAGCGUCUGGGUCUCUGCUGCCAAGCUGCCUCUCUCGGGGCAGUUGGCCUCCAGCUGAAUCCAGCCACCAGCAGGAGGUGGACGGCUGUGUCCUGAGUGCUUAUUUCCUUGGCACCUGCUCUAGGCCUGGGGAGCUUCACAGCUUUCUAAGUCAGAAACUACAAGAGGGGCUUCUCUCUCUUCUCCCUCUCCUGUGGCCUUUUGUGGCUUCUUUCAGAGGGUGAGGAGCACUCAUUCACCCUCCACCCUCUCAGCUUGAUUAAGCAGGAAGCAGGUGCCCCUCGGCGGGGGGGAUAGUGACAUCACCCUGCUUUCAGGCCAGACCACCAGCCCUGAAGCUGAGGGUAGGACAGCAGUCUACUCCAAACACAGCCCAAGCUUCUCCUGUUUGCUCACGAGCCUCAGUUUCCCCUUCUGCAAGCUGAGCUGUGCAUACUCUUCCCCUGAGGGUGGCCUUUCUCAGGGCCAUGAACCUACUAAAGAGCUUUCAGGCCACAAAGCCUGAUUCAGAAGCAGAGACGGUUGCUAAAUUCCACCUGUGAAAUCUGACACUUCUGUCUGUUCUUACACUCAGACCCUCUCACACAGCUGGGCUUUGGAAUUAGCCCUGUGGGAGCCUGCGUGGCGGCAUAGCGGAUAGAGCCACUGCCUGCAACCCCAGCAUCCCGUAUUGGUGCUGGUUCGAGUCCUGGCUGCUCCACUUCCAAUCCAGCUCCCUGCUAAUGCCCUGGAAAAAGCAGUGGAAGAUGGCCCAAGUAUAUAGGCCCAUGCACCCAUGUGGGAGACCCAGAAGAAGCUUCUGGCUUCAGCCUGGCCCAGCCUUGACCAUUGCAACCAUCAGUCUCUCCCUCCACCCCUUCUCUCUGUAGCUCUGACUUUCAAAUAAAUAAAUAUGAAAUAGGCCUUUCA